UACGUAGGGUGCGAGCGUUGUCCGGAAUUAUUGGGCGUAAAGGGCUCGUAGGCGGUUUGUCACGUCGGGAGUGAAAACUCGGGGCUCAACCCCGAGCCUGCAGUGGAUACGGGCAGACUAGAGGUAGGUAGGGGAGAAUGGAAUUCCCGGUGUAGCGGUGAAAUGCGCAGAUAUCGGGAGGAACACCGGUGGCGAAGGCGGUUCUCUGGGCCUUACCUGACGCUGAGGAGCGAAAGCGUGGGGAGCGAACAGG
This 253-nucleotide ribosomal RNA is filed under the name uncultured bacterium. RNAcentral describes it as "partial 16S ribosomal RNA". It matches the Rfam family "Bacterial small subunit ribosomal RNA", at positions 524 to 776 of the family's 1533-position model. The record is from RNAcentral.